CCCUUAGAUGUUCUGGGCCGCACGCGCGCUACACUGACGAAUGCAACGAGCUUAUAACCUUGGCCGAAAGGUCUGGGUAAUCUCCAAAUUUCGUCGUGAUGGGGAUAGAUUAUUGCAAUUAUUAAUCUUCAACGAGGAAUGCCUAGUAAGCGCAAGUCAUCAGCUUGCGUUGAUUACGUCCCUGCCCUUUGUACUCACCGCCCGUCGCUCCUACCGAUUGAAUGGUCCGGUGAAGCGUUCGGACCGUGGCCUUUGGACGGUUCGCCGUCUGUUGGCUGCGGGAAGUUCGUUAAACCUUAUCAUUUAGAGGAAGGAGAAGUCGUANCA
RNAcentral lists this ribosomal RNA (327 nucleotides) under uncultured eukaryote. RNAcentral's name for it is "partial 18S ribosomal RNA". It matches the Rfam family "Eukaryotic small subunit ribosomal RNA", at positions 1470 to 1796 of the family's 1831-position model. The record is from RNAcentral.